GAUGGUCGCUGGUUCCUUCGGGAGUCAGAGGAAAGUCCGGACACCACAAGGUAGCGUGCCCGAUGAAAAUCGGGGAGGCCCCGUGUAAUGCGGGAUCGACGGAUAGUGUCGCAGAAAAUAAACCGCCUUUCGCUGCUUCGGCGGAGAAGGGUAAGGGUGAAAUGGCGAGGUAAGAGCUCACCGCCCCGAGGGUGACUGAGGGGGUCAGGAAAAACCCCGCGCGGUGCAAGACAUAACAGAACAAACGGGUUGCCUGCCCGGCCCGGGAACUUCGGUUUCCGGAUGAGUUCGGGUAUUAGUCGCAUCCUGCUUCGGCAGGAAGCGGAGCGUCGGCAGGUCCGGCGAGCCGUUAGAAAAAUGAUCGUCCGCCCCAAUGUUUCGUGCAGCGGGGUGAACAGAAUCCGGCUUACGG
RNAcentral lists this RNase P RNA (412 nucleotides) under marine eukaryotic metagenome. RNAcentral's name for it is "Bacterial RNase P class A". It matches the Rfam family "Bacterial RNase P class A". From Rfam's summary of the family: Ribonuclease P (RNase P) is a ubiquitous endoribonuclease, found in archaea, bacteria and eukarya as well as chloroplasts and mitochondria. Its best characterised activity is the generation of mature 5'-ends of tRNAs by cleaving the 5'-leader elements of precursor-tRNAs. The record is from RNAcentral.